UACGUAGGUGGCAAGCGUUGUCCGGAUUUACUGGGCGUAAAGAGCGCGCAGGCGGUCGUUCAAGUCGCGUGUGAAAGCCCCCGGCUCAACUGGGGAGGGUCACGCGAUACUGAUCGACUGGAAGGCAGGAGAGGGUAGUGGAAUUCCCGGUGUAGUGGUGAAAUGCGUAGAUAUCAGGAGGAACACCUGUGGCGAAAGCGGCUCACUGGACCACAACUGACGCUGAGGCGCGAAAGCUAGGGGAGCAAACAGG
This 253-nucleotide ribosomal RNA is filed under the name uncultured bacterium. RNAcentral describes it as "partial 16S ribosomal RNA". It matches the Rfam family "Bacterial small subunit ribosomal RNA", at positions 524 to 776 of the family's 1533-position model. The record is from RNAcentral.